This is a long non-coding RNA of Panthera uncia (snow leopard), 1872 nucleotides long. RefSeq lists it as uncharacterized. The record is from RefSeq and is a predicted model, not a curated record. Lineage: Eukaryota; Metazoa; Chordata; Mammalia; Carnivora; Felidae. The transcript is spliced from 3 exons.
GUGCCAAGCAACAAGAUCUCAGUGACAGAGAGGCAAGUGUUUCUAGCUGGUAUCAGAAAUUAAGGGGCUGUUGGAGGGGAACACUCUGAACCGGAGCCUGCUGAAAAUACCCGGCGCUGUCUGCUUUUAGGGCUGCCGGCUCCUGACUCAGGCCACUGUUGUUAGUCUCCCCUGGCUCCCUCCAAACACCACCUGCCCCUGGGCUUCUGAGCUCACACAAACCACUGUCCCUGCCGCCCUCACCUGCUCAGUGCCUCCGGUGGCCAAGAAUUCCACAUGAAUGGUUUACGAUGUUGGUGAAAUGUUCUCUAUGAUACCACAAAAUGUCUUCUUAAAACCAACCAAAUAAUGUUGAUCAGUGAAUUUCCUUCUUCAAUGACCUCUGUGGACAGAAGAGUUUGAGGCACAUGAACAAGGAAUGCGCAAGAUUAUUGGGAUCUGGAAGGUACUUUGUGAACACAUGAGGCUGCGCACCUGUACUCUAUGAUGGUGGUUGACAUUGGUGGUGGGAAGAUUUCAACUUUUCUCUAAUUUAAGAAGAUUUAAAUAAAGACUUCCUGGUUGAUAUCUUGGAAUCCUGGCAGCUUCUGAGCAACAGUUUUCCCAAGACUCUGAGGCAGUAGUUACAUCUUUUAAGAAUCCAGUUAGUAAUUUUAUCCUGGAUACAUUUUAUUCUGGAGACAUUUCCAUUUUAAACAGUUUAUGCAAUUAUACACACACAUACACACACGUGUAUAUACGAACACACAUAGGGCCAUGUGUAAAAGACAUUUUCCCUAUAAACUCUUUUCAUCUUAUUCAUAAACUAAGACUGAGUACUAUCGAGGAGCAGAUAGUUGUCUAAAAAUCUAUUAAGGAAGAACUUUGGAUUUAAGGGAAAUAUUAUUCAUUGAACCCUCAGACAUUCUCAAGCUAGAAUUUACCCUUAAGCAUAAGGAAUGGAGAAAUUUAUUACCACCAGUUUUUAUCUUUACUUGUUUUUUUACUCUGUCCUAUGUAAGAAAAACCAAUUGAAUUAAUGUGGUGUUGGUGUUAUUUUCAUGUUCUAGUAAGCUUAAUUUAAAAACAUCACUUAUGUUCCUCUUCUUUUAUACUAUGUUUCUGAGUUGCUCAUGUACAAUAUAUCUAUGUUGUGAUUUCUCAGUUUCUUCAUGGAAUGUGCUAUUUUAGUUCUAGAUAUCUGAUCAUAUUUAAAUGACUUAGUCUUUUCUGGUCAAAUAGUAACUUUCCCCCCCCCUCCUUCAAUAUUCUGCAGGGGAAUUAAGCAGAUUCUCAUAGGUAGAAAUGUUUAAAUGUGUCUUCAGAACACUCAUGGGAAAAACAGAAUAGCUCUGUCAUGUUUUUAGCAGCAAAACACUUAAAAGAAAUAGUUCUCCAACAAAAUUUGUUAUGAAGCCCACUAGAGAUAAUCCAUCCUAAAUUACUCACUGCAUAAUACAUUCUUAUAAAAAAGAGCAAAACAUGGCAGGAAGGUAAGAUAAAGAACUAUCUCUGAAACACAUUAAGUCCUGAUAUAUAUUAACAACUAUCAGUCAGUUUCUAACUUGCACUUUCAAAUUAUAAAAGGAAAUUUGUUUGAUAUGCUUUCUAUCUUAUAUUUGGAAAACUUAAAAUAAUGUUAGAAUAGGUUAGAUUUAGAAUAGGUUUUUGUUUCCUAGUUUGAAGAAAUACAGUAAAAUCUUGGGUUUGCGAGCAUAAUUCAUGCUUGUAAUCCAAAGCACUUGUAUAUCAAAGCAAAUUUCCCCAUAAGAAAUACUGGAAACUUAGAUGAUUUGUUCCACAACCCAAAAAUAUUCAUAAAAAAAUGAUUACAAUACUGUAAUAUAACACAAAAUAAUAAAUAAAAUACAAAAUAUAAAGAAAAAUAAACAA